Molecule: long non-coding RNA, 95 nt
Organism: Octopus sinensis (East Asian common octopus)
Lineage: Eukaryota; Metazoa; Mollusca; Cephalopoda; Octopoda; Octopodidae
Exons: 3
Source: RefSeq, a predicted model, not a curated record
GGUUUUUACGGCUGGAUGCCCUUCCUAUCACCAACCACCCCAUAGAGUGUACGGAGUGCCUUUUACAAGGCACCGGCCUUGGCAUCUUUUACACA